This 3768-nucleotide long non-coding RNA is filed under the name Sus scrofa (pig). RNAcentral describes it as "lncRNA (ENSSSCG00065040163.1)". Lineage: Eukaryota; Metazoa; Chordata; Mammalia; Artiodactyla; Suidae. The record is from RNAcentral.
ACACUCGCUGGCAGGCUGGGUGCCGGAUCCCUCGCCCGCCCAGGAAAGUGGGUUACGGAGGGAAGAGGCUCAGCUCAGAUGCUGGCAAAGGAGCAUCCAGCCACAGAGACCAGAGAACACCUUCCUUUUUGCUGCCUCGUCUCCAUCCUUUCUAGAGGGUUUUAUAUUUGCACUCUCUCUUUUAAAAUUUUGUUUCUUUGACUUUUCCCCACCUCUGCUCUGGUUUUAUGAGGGCUUUGUUAAGUCUUAGACGGGAAAGAGACUGAGUGAGGGAAAGAAAGAGGCAAAGUGGAAAGGACCACAAAUUGGCAAAGCCUGUUCUGCUUUUGCUGUGGAUGAAAGUCCUCUGUUUGUAAAGCCCUCUCGGCGUGAGCAGCACGCGCACCCUCCAGAGUAGCCGGACCCUGCACCGCACCUCGGCGUGGCCACCAUGGUCGCCAGAGUUCAGCCUGAUCGGAAACAGUUGCCGCUAGUCCUACUGAGAUUGCUCUGCCUUCUUCCCACAGGACUGCCUGUUCGCAGCGUGGAUUUUAACCGAGGCACCGACAACAUCACCGUGAGGCAGGGGGACACGGCCAUCCUCAGAGAGAUCAGGAGCAGAGAAAGAAGACAGUGAAGCUGAAAAUUAAAACCUAUCCCAGUUUCUGGGCCACCACUUUGUAAGAAAGUCUUUUUAGGCUGCUUAAACAGAAGGCUUUUUGACUGAAAGAGGGAGUCGUACAUCCAACCCAGAGGUGCCAUUUUGAGAGUGCACGAGAUCCAUUGAUACAAAAAACUCUGCACAAUAAGAAUGUGGUCAGAAAUAUUCCCCAAGAGGCUGGUCAUAUUGAUGAAAUAAGACAAUGAUUAUUUAAGGACAAUAGAAGCUUAAAGUAUUCAUCAAAUGUUUUUCAGCUAAACUAAUGUGGUACAAUCCACAUACCAGGACAAUAUGGAGAAAUUGUGACACAGGCCAAGGAGUUGAUGGAGAGCUAGAAGAUAGAGGAUUGAAGACAUUUAGAAAAACUAUGAAAACCAGAAAGAUCAGGGUAAGGACAUGCUACACUAGCUCACCCUCUGUUGUGUCUUUUAUUGUGCUAGGAAAGAUGGUCAUUGUUACUUAUAAAAAUCUCCUCCCCCAAAGUUGCUCUUCUUCCCCUCCCCCAAUCCCAGGAAGACUUUCAUGGAAAAUAGAACCUUUCUGUUAUGCUUACCCAGCUCUGUUCAGAGCCACAGGAUUGAAUACACUCAGAGGCAUAUCCAGCUAAUGCAAACCCUGCUAGCCAAAUAGUUUUUCCAGGCUGAGGGAUGAAGUCAGAUAUGAAGGAAAAGAGUAUAGGAAUAGAAAUGAUAAUUGAGGUCUUCUGAGAGUUAAGAGAGAGAUUAUUCAGUAUAGGAAGCAAAAAUGUCAAGAAAUGGGUUGCAGUCCUGUAAUUUCAUUGGACUAAUUGUGAGUCCUUGAAGCUCGAUUUCCUCUUUACAAAACGAAGGGAUUUGUCAUGAUGUCCUAAUGGUGCCAAUGUGAUGUAAUUAAGUCUAUUCAAGAAAUAAUCCUUAUCUUGAUUAGGUAAAUAGGACUUGAUUAAUUCCACUCUGAUUAACCACUGCCUCUCAACCUCUUCUAGAGGCAUUUUACCCAUUCUACCCAGCAAUUCACCAUCUUCUCCCAGCAGAGAUGAAAAAUGCCCCAGUCUCCUUCAUGAUAGAGAUCAAGCCAAGAUCUAAAUGCUGUAAAACAUAAAACACUUCUGCAGAUGGUUGUGGUUUGCCUUGCAAGUGGAAUGGCAUUGGUGGAGACAAGAUGAGGAGGGGAGAAAAGGAGGGGGGUAUAAAGGAGAGUUUCCUUUAAAACAUCAAAAAGACUUUAUAGAUCUUUUCUGCCCUUUCAUGAAGACUUCAUCUGGCAGCCAGAUUGCCUUAAUGGUCUGCCUAGAAAGACCCACCCUGGCCUGACAUAGCCAGACACACACUUUCCAGCUUUGCUUUGCUUCUUUGAUGCUGUCACAUGUUCUUCAUUUUCUACAUUUCAUUCAUUCUUUGCCUUUAAGCUAUAAGGAUAAAAGUGCCUGGCAUUAAAAAAAAAAUCAGUGUACAUUUUUUAAAGGGGCAGGCAUUUCAUGCAGCUUUGAUUUCCUUCUGGGAGAAAAUCAUUACUUUUCUUUAAAGGAGAAAUUAGAUUUUUUUCUGCUUCCUCUCCCUGCUUUCCACCCUUCACCCCAACGCUCCCAUUUUUCAGCAGUAAGAAAUAACACUGGGUUUAGUGCAGGAACGGGCUAGAGAAAUGAUUGUCUCCUAGAAAGCACUUAUGCCACUACAAUGAAUAAAAAAGCCUAAGCAUUCAUUUACUGCUAAACAAUGACGAAAGACAAUUGGAAUGUUUUAAAGGACUGCACUAUAUUCAACAUCUGGUAAACAUUGGUUGAGAUAGCUGUUUUUAAAACCAGGUGGUGUAGAGGAGGAACGAUAACCAGUAGAGUAUGAUUUUUAUAACCUUUGAAAUGUAUAAGAAGGUUACAUAGAGAGGUCUGAAGCAUUGUGUAUGAAGGAGCAUGUUAACAGAAACAGAGUAAAAACUCAUACUGCAAAGGAAACACUAAUACGAGAGAAUUCCUGUGUGUGGAAUACUCAUGUAAGUCACAAAAUGUGGCCACAGGGACACACUCUAGAUUUUCUCUCCAAAUUAAUGAGCCCAAUUUUAAAAAUAUGGAGUGAAUCUAUAGAAGAAGGACAAGUAGUAAUAUUAAGGAAUAAGAGUUGGCUAGAUGAGUGUCUAAAUACACACAGUGGGGGAAAAUAGGAAGUGAUAAGAUUUCCAGAUAGGAUAAAUGACUACAUCCAUAACAAGUAUUUCGAACCCAAAUGAAAGAAUAAUGUCUGGAACUGAUCCUUAGAUUUGAAUGUGGAAUAAUGCUGGAGAUAUAUGUGUAAUACACAAAAACAAAACAAAACAUUCCCCCAAACAUACAUAUUUCUAGAGGAAGAGGAAAAAUGAAGAAAUCUAUCACCCACCUAUUAAACUCCAGGAAAGGAAAUGGUGCCAAAUGUGGAAACUGGAAAAAAAAAAAUUAAAGGGAAAAUCUGCAAAGUUAAAUAAACUACAAGAAACCCCAAACCAUUCCAAAUACCUCAUUGGAAAUUCAUGAUAAAUGGCUUUAGAGGCACAAACAGGCCAAGAGCUGAUGACAGUAAAACAAAACUCUCUGAAUAACCGGCUGCGUCAGAAUAUCUCCUGUUGGAAGGAGCAAGAAAAAGCGUCUUUGGGAGAGGGGAAAACAAUUAGAAGAACAGGAUGAUCGACCAACCAGAGCAAGCACCAAAUACUUAAAAAGUAAACAUAGGAGGAUCCCAUGAAAGGUACUCAAAAUAUAAUAGUAUAUAUAUAUAAUACCUUUCAAUAAGGUAGCCUAGUCCUUGCUUGGAGCCUCUUUGAAGAUCACCCAGACCCUGUACAUCAAGGGACAGAAUCUUUUAGGGAAUUUGAAACACCAUUUGAAGGUCAGUAUAUGAACAGUGGGCUUAGGAGAAAAAAGGAAUAUCAGGAAUUCCUGUCUUGGUGCAGGAAAUGAAUCUGCCUAGGAAUCAGGAGGUUGUGGAUUCGAACCCUGGCUUCGCUCAGUGUGUUAAGGAUCCAGCAUUGCCGUCAUCUGUAGGUUGCAGAUUUGGCUCAGAUCUGGUGUUGCUGUGGCUCUGGUGUAGGCCAGCAGCAACAGCUCUGGUUAGACCCCUAACCUGGGAACCACCGUAUGCCAUAGGUGCACCCCUAAAAAGACAAAAGACAAAAAAAAAAAA